This 324-nucleotide long non-coding RNA is filed under the name Brassica napus (rape). RNAcentral's name for it is "long non-coding RNA (BNAP_LNC019056)". The record is from RNAcentral. Lineage: Eukaryota; Viridiplantae; Streptophyta; Magnoliopsida; Brassicales; Brassicaceae.
UCAGCUACUGGGGCACGUGUGGAUGUGCUCUUCUUUUGGCUCUUGCUGACGUCCUUGAGGGCUUUGUCCACACCCUUCACAAAGUUAUCACAAAAUUGUUUGACAUCAAACUGAAAAUGUUUCCUUUUUGGAUCAGCUUCGCCUUUGGACGUUUUGAACUGCUCUUUGCACCUCCUGUUCGGCAUCUUAUGUGGUCUUCUUUGGGCUAGUCUUUCCUGCACAGGAACAAAAUCAUCAAAAACAUUCAAUGAAUUUUGAGAUGAAGAUUUAAAGUUAGCCUCUCGCUGGAAUUUCUUCUUGCUACUUCCCUUGUGAAGACCAAAC